Molecule: long non-coding RNA, 453 nt
Filed under: Pan troglodytes (chimpanzee)
Lineage: Eukaryota; Metazoa; Chordata; Mammalia; Primates; Hominidae
Description: lincRNA
Source: RNAcentral
AGGCCUGGUGGUCCAGGAUCCAGUGCUGCUCCCCAUGUGCCCAUCUCACCUGCUGCUCGGCACCAGCAGCCAUCACCACUCCACUUCUCUCAAGAGACAGAGUCUUGCUCUAUCCCCCAGGUGGGAGUGCAGUGGCAUGAUCUUGGCUCACUGCAACCUCCCCCUCCUGGGUUCAAGUGGUUCUCCUGCCUCAGCCUCUCGAGCAUCUGGGAUUACAGAUGGAGGAAGGAGGUCCCAAGCCAAGGAAUGCAGCAUGGGCCUCUAGAAGCUGGAAUGACCCUCACCUCACGGCCAGCAAGAAAUCAGGGAACUCAGUCUUACCCGAGUGAGCAGGAAAUCGAUUCUCCUCUGCAGCCUCUAUAGAGAACACAGCCUGUCAACACCCUGAUUUUGGCCCAAUGAGCCCUGUACCUCCAGAAGUGUAACGUAAUAAAUUUGUGUUGUUUUAAGCUA